CAGCAGCCACGGUAAUACGAAGGGUGCAAGCGUUAAUCGGAAUUACUGGGCGUAAAGCGUGCGUAGGCGGUUUGUUAAGUCUGUUGUGAAAUCCCCGGGCUCAACCUGGGAACGGCAAUGGAUACUGGCAAGCUAGAGUGUGUCAGAGGAUGGUGGAAUUCCCGGUGUAGCGGUGAAAUGCGUAGAGAUCGGGAGGAACAUCAGUGGCGAAGGCGGCCAUCUGGGCCAAUACUGACGCUCAUGCACGAAAGCGUGGGGAGCAAACAGGAUUAGAUACCCGCGUAGUCCCUGUCUCUUAUAC
Molecule: ribosomal RNA, 301 nt
Filed under: uncultured bacterium
Lineage: Bacteria
Description: partial 16S ribosomal RNA
Rfam family: Bacterial small subunit ribosomal RNA
Source: RNAcentral